This 447-nucleotide ribosomal RNA is filed under the name uncultured bacterium. Its description in RNAcentral is "bacterial SSU rRNA". It matches the Rfam family "Bacterial small subunit ribosomal RNA", at positions 328 to 792 of the family's 1533-position model. The record is from RNAcentral.
GGGCCAGACUCCUACGGGAGGCAGCAGUGGGGGAUAUUGCACAAUGGGGGGAACCCUGAUGCAGCGACGCCGCGUGGGUGAAGAAGCGCCUCGGCGCGUAAAGCCCUGUCAGCAGGGAAGAAAAUGACGGUACCUGACUAAGAAGCCCCGGCUAACUACGUGCCAGCAGCCGCGGUAAUACGUAGGGGGCGAGCGUUAUCCGGAUUUACUGGGUGUAAAGGGGGCGCAGACGGCAGCGCAAGCCAGGAGUGAAAGCCCGGGGCCCAACCCCGGGACUGCUCUUGGAACUGCGCGGCUGGAGUGCAGGAGGGGCAGGCGGAAUUCCUGGUGUAGCGGUGAAAUGCGUAGAUAUCAGGAGGAACACCGGCGGCGAAGGCGGCCUGCUGGACCGUGACUGACGUUGAGGCUCGAGAGCGUGGGGAGCAAACAGGAUUAGAUACCCCUGUA